AGUGAACGCUGGCGGUAGGCCUAACACAUGCAAGUCGAACGGCAGCACAGUAAGAGCUUGCUCUUACGGGUGGCGAGUGGCGGACGGGUGAGGAAUACAUCGGAAUCUACUUUUUCGUGGGGGAUAACGUAGGGAAACUUACGCUAUAACGCAAACUACCUAACGGUGAAAGCCAGGGGUCUUUGGACCUUUUGCGGUUGAAUGAAGCGAUGUCGGAUUAGCUAGUUGGCGGGGUAAAGGCCCACCAAGGCGACGAUCCGUAGCCGGUCUGAGAGGAUGAUCGGCCACACUGGAACUGAGACACGGUCCAGACUCCUACGGGAGGCAGCAGUGGGGAAUAUUGGGCAAUGGGCGCAAGCCUGAUGCAGCCAUACCGCGUGGGUGAAGAAGGCCUUCGGGUUGUAAAGCCCUUUUGUUGGGAAAGAAAAGCAGCAGGUUAAUACCCCGCUGUUCUGACGGUACCCAAAGAAUAAGCACCGGCUAACUUCGUG
RNAcentral lists this ribosomal RNA (491 nucleotides) under uncultured bacterium. Its description in RNAcentral is "partial 16S ribosomal RNA". It matches the Rfam family "Bacterial small subunit ribosomal RNA", at positions 29 to 507 of the family's 1533-position model. The record is from RNAcentral.